AACGCUGGCGGCAGGCUUAACACAUGCAAGUCGAACGGUAACAGAAAAUAGCUUGCUAUUUUGCUGACGAGUGGCGGACGGGUGAGUAAUGCUUGGGAACAUGCCUUUAGGUGGGGGACAACAGUUGGAAACGACUGCUAAUACCGCAUAAUAUCUUCGGAUCAAAGUGGGGGACCUUCGGGCCUCACGCCUAGAGAGUGGCCCAAGUGGGAUUAGCUAGUUGGUAAGGUAAUGGCUUACCAAGGCGACGAUCCCUAGCUGGUCUUAGAGGAUGACCAGCCACACUGGAACUGAGACACGGUCCAGACUCCUACGGGAGGCAGCAGUGGGGAAUAUUGCACAAUGGAGGAAACUCUGAUGCAGCCAUGCCGCGUGUGUGAAGAAGGCUUUCGGGUUGUAAAGCACUUUCAGUGGGGAGGAAAGGUUGCUGUUUAAUACGCUGUUGCCCUGACGUUACCAACAGAAGAAGCACCGGCUAACUCCGUGCCAGCAGCCGCGGUAAUACGGAGGGUGCAAGCGUUAAUCGGAAUUACUGGGCGUAAAGCGCGCGUAGGCGGUUUGGUCAGUCGGAUGUGAAAGCCCAGGGCUCAACCUGGGAACUGCAUUCGAUACUGCCUGACUAGAGUGUGGUAGAGGGAAGUGGAAUUCCGGGUGUAGCGGUGAAAUGCGUAGAUAUCCGGAGGAACACCAGUGGCGAAGGCGGCUUCCUGGACCAACACUGACGCUUUCGUGCGAAAGCGUGCGGAGCAAACAGGAUUAGAUACCCUGGUAGUCCACGCCGUAAACGAUGUCAACUAGCCGUUGGGAGGAUUGGCCUCUUGGUGGCGCAGCUAACGCGGUAAGUUGACCGCCUGGGGAGUACGGCCGCAAGGUUAAAACUCAAAUGAAUUGACGGGGGCCCGCACAAGCGGUGGAGCAUGUGGUUUAAUUCGAUGCAACGCGAAAAACCUUACCUACUCUUGACAUCCCGUGAACUUUGCAGAGAUGGAUUGGUGCCUUCGGGAACACGGUGACAGGUGCUGCAUGGCUGUCGUCAGCUCGUGUUGUGAGAUGUUGGGUUAAGUCCCGCAACGAGCGCAACCCCUAUCCUUAUUUGCCAGCACUUCGGGUGGGAACUUUAAGGGGACUGCCGGUGAGAAACAGGAGGAAGGUGCGGACGACGUCAAGUCAUCAUGGCCCUUACGGGAUGGGCUACGCACGUGCUACAAUGGCCGGUACAGAGGGCAGCAAACUAGCGAUAGUGAGCGAAUCCCAGAAAGCCGGUCGUAGUCCGGAUUGGAGUCUGCAACUCGACUCCAUGAAGUCGGAAUCGCUAGUAAUCGUGGAUCAGAAUGCCGCGGUGAAUACGUUCCCGGGCCUUGUACACACCGCCCGUCACACCAUGGGAGUGGGUUGCAAAAGAAGUAGGUAGCUUAACCUUAGGGAGGGCGCUUACCACUUUGUGAUUCAUGACUGGGGUGAAGUCGGAACAAGGUAACCGUAGGGGAACCUGCGGUUGGAUCACCUCCUUA
RNAcentral lists this ribosomal RNA (1511 nucleotides) under uncultured prokaryote. RNAcentral describes it as "partial 16S ribosomal RNA". It matches the Rfam family "Bacterial small subunit ribosomal RNA". The record is from RNAcentral.